This 366-nucleotide ribosomal RNA is filed under the name Triticum aestivum (bread wheat). Its description in RNAcentral is "partial small subunit ribosomal RNA". Lineage: Eukaryota; Viridiplantae; Streptophyta; Magnoliopsida; Poales; Poaceae. The record is from RNAcentral.
AUGGCCACCGCUGGAAUGCCGGCCAGCGCCCACACCACCAUUGUCCAUCAGGGCGCCUUGUUUCAGAUAGGGGCCGCCAUGAUCCAGAUUAGGAUCACACUCUCGAGAUGGGGCGUCCCGCCCCACCGAAGGACACGAGAGGGGAGGCAGUACCUCUGCCGCCGCCGUCGGAUAGAUGGUAUGACUAGCAUAUGGCUCAGCCAAAUUUAUAAAUCGCUCGGCAAUAACGGGGAUUUAAGUAUCUGCAUUUCACAAGAGCUAAGAUGCAAUGCAGAACAUGUUGGUUUGCAUGCAAAUGGAGAACAUGCUACUACUGCAUUGUUUGUUUCCAUGCAAAUGGAGAACAUGCUGGGCAUACAUAUUUGA